Molecule: non-coding RNA, 307 nt
Organism: Salmo salar (Atlantic salmon)
Lineage: Eukaryota; Metazoa; Chordata; Actinopteri; Salmoniformes; Salmonidae
Source: RefSeq, a predicted model, not a curated record
GGGGAGGAGCUUAAACUGAACGCCACUCUGAAGAAUGACCCUGAAACCAAGGUUACCACCAUUACAUGCUCUGUCCACCAGUUCCAGUACCCUUUGAAACAGUUGGAGUACUCUGCUCCCAUCUAUCUACAAAGAGGUUCCCGUCGCGUCGACACUGCUCCCAUCCUCAGACUGCAGCUAUAUGACUGUUCAGUGGGCCAGUCUGACUGUAGCCAGUGCAGAGCGGUGUCUUCUGGGUACGGCUGUGUCUGGUGUGGUGGAGAGACGCCAGGCUGUGUCUACAAUCUCUCCUGUAGCAGCUCACCUG